This 326-nucleotide ribosomal RNA is filed under the name uncultured eukaryote. RNAcentral describes it as "partial 18S ribosomal RNA". It matches the Rfam family "Eukaryotic small subunit ribosomal RNA", at positions 1470 to 1796 of the family's 1831-position model. The record is from RNAcentral.
CCCUUAGAUGUUCUGGGCUGCACGCGCGCUACACUGAUGCAUGCAACGAGUUUUCGACCUUGCCUGAAAAGGUUGGGUAAUCUGUUUAACAUGUGUCGUGAUGGGGAUAGACCAUUGCAAUUAUUGAUCUUCAACGAGGAAUUCCUAGUAAGCGCGAGUCAUCAGCUCGUGCUGAUUAUGUCCCUGCCCUUUGUACACACCGCCCGUCGCUCCUACCUAUUGAGUGAUCCGGUGAAUGAUUCGGACCAGCGUGCUGCUCAGAUCCUGCGCAGUGUGCUGGGAAGUCUAGUGAACCUUAUCACUUAGAGGAAGGAGAAGUCGUAACA